Galleria mellonella (greater wax moth) is the source of this 1113-nucleotide long non-coding RNA. RefSeq lists it as uncharacterized. The transcript has 3 exons. The record is from RefSeq and is a predicted model, not a curated record. NCBI's taxonomy places the organism in Eukaryota, Metazoa, Arthropoda, Insecta, Lepidoptera, Pyralidae.
ACUUAUCGAAACAAACUUGUAAUUAAAGUUGUAACACAAUACACAAUUACAAUAACAUUUAGGUCACAGUACGUGCUAUGAAUAACACUGGAAUACGUUGAAAUUUACCUACGUUUAAUGUCAUCUUGUAUCGGGGCAUGUCGAAGCUGUAUACUAUUAAAUUAGUAUUCAACACGGGCGUUGAAUAGGAAUGAAUCGCGUCUGCUUCGCGCCUCCGUCCAUUGCGCCAAUCGUUCGACGUUUGUGACAAAUUUAUUAAAGUGCCAACAAGCGAUUUUAUUGGCAUAUUUGAUGAGAAACCGAUCAAUAGAGUUCACAGAAAUUAUCACAGAAAUCUACCUUAACAAAUCAAGUAAAUAGAUGUCCUUGAGUUGGCAGCCUGGUAAUGUGUAAAGGGGUUAUCCUAGUACCGAUACCAGUCUCUCACAAAGAUUGUUUUGAAUGUAGCUCAAUUACAACAUCUUCAAAGUACAGCAAAACAAAACAUUAAAGUGCCUAUUUCUACUAAUUUUUUUUCACACAACAUGGCCAUAUUCUUUUGGCGGGAAGGCAAAAGACACCUAUCGUGAGGUCACACACUGGCCGCAUGUGUAACAGUAAAAAAAAAAAGAAUUUAAUAUUUUUAAAACCACUUUAUACUAUUGCAUUUGCCUUGACGAUUGUGUAAAAUUGUUUCUAUCGACAAUAAAAAUAAAAUAAACAAAUAAAAUACACGUGCAAUACACUUCCUGUAUGAGAAUGCUAACAGAGAUCCAGAGAUUACGAUCGAACAACAACUUCUGCCCAAGGCAACCGACGAGAUAUCAUCGCUUUCGCCGAAAGAAAUAAAACCACAAACAUUUUAUAAAUCUCCGUUGUGAUCUACUGUAACACGAGAACAAUACGUGAUUUUAUUAUUAAGUGAUAUUUUAUUAAGAAACGAAAUAAAGUAUUCGCAUAAUAAAAUAUAUGCUUUGUAAUUAUUUUAUGUAUUAAAAUCUUUGAAUGUUUCAUCGACAAUGCUGUCAGAAUGAUUAAACUUAAAAAAAUUUAAGGUGGCCCAUUUUUGUCACAUAGGUACUUAGAAAAUAAGACAUUUUUGGUAUUUUACAGAAUUUGUCUUUUACAUAUAAU